ACAGGGUCGCGAGACUCCUAACCCACCGUGAACCUACCGUACGUUGCCUCGGUGGGCGGCCCCAGGGCGGGGCCCCCCGGCCUGCCUCGGCAGGCGCCCGCCGCGGUCACCAGGACUCAGUCUUUACCGUGCCCUCUGAGCUACGUGUUAAUGAAGUCA
Molecule: unclassified non-coding RNA, 159 nt
Filed under: uncultured Cephalothecaceae
Lineage: Eukaryota; Fungi; Ascomycota; Sordariomycetes; Sordariales
Description: sequence contains ITS1
Source: RNAcentral